AUUCAACUUAUUAGAGAGUGUUGCCAAAAAAAAAAAAGCAAGAGUUUUUUAGAGAGUAGUUUGGUUCUUAAAUUCUCACCUGGGUGUAGAAGA
Molecule: long non-coding RNA, 93 nt
Organism: Populus euphratica (Euphrates poplar)
Lineage: Eukaryota; Viridiplantae; Streptophyta; Magnoliopsida; Malpighiales; Salicaceae
Exons: 3
Source: RefSeq, a predicted model, not a curated record